AAUUUGUUACGUUAUUAAGUUUGUAUAAAGUUUCCCUCCAAAAUGUGUUUGUUGGGCCGCAGGACUGUGACGGUGAUCGUGUGCAUCAUACCUGGUGCUGAGUGUGUUCCACUGUUUUAUAGGUAUCGACUCCUGUGGCGCAGGGGUAAAGCACAACCCACAUGACGGUCUCGAUCCUCGAUUCGGACGUCAAAGGUUCAAGUCCUGGCUAGAAGACCUUUGCUGAAUGUCUUCCGCCUCUUUCGCUAUCUACUUUCCUGUCUAACCAUGCUCAAAUAAAGGCUGCCUGAGCCAAAAAAAAAAAUUUUAAAAGAAGUGUGAACUGAGGACACUGACAGUAUUGUUGGGGGCAUCUGUGCUUGCUGCAACAUGUUUUGAAUUGAAAGGAUAUUUUAGGCUUUAAUAGCUUCACUGAUAGACCAACUCCUUUUUGCCCGAUGUAAACAGAAAACUCUUUACCAGCAUCCCAUCAGAUUAUUUUUUGAAGGUUCCAUCCAGCAUUUUUAUAUGUAAUAAAAAUGGGAUUCACUGUGUAAAACUUUUAAUGGGCUAAUAUCUAGUAUGUAAUUAAUUAAUUAAUUAAUUAAAAUAAAUGCAGUAAACUCC
Long non-coding RNA from Xiphophorus couchianus (Monterrey platyfish), 606 nucleotides. RefSeq lists it as uncharacterized. The record is from RefSeq and is a predicted model, not a curated record. The transcript has 2 exons. NCBI's taxonomy places the organism in Eukaryota, Metazoa, Chordata, Actinopteri, Cyprinodontiformes, Poeciliidae.